This 694-nucleotide long non-coding RNA is filed under the name Homo sapiens (human). RNAcentral's name for it is "non-protein coding lnc-ABL1-2:1". The record is from RNAcentral. Lineage: Eukaryota; Metazoa; Chordata; Mammalia; Primates; Hominidae.
GGUCCAUUGUUAUUAUUUACAAAACACCAGCCUAAGGUAAGGAAGCUGAGAGGCUCAGAGAUGUCAAGCAGCUCGGCCAAGGUCACACAACAUGUACCAGCUGGUGCCUACCACGGCAGUCUAAUCAGUAGACAGUGCAGACAGCCCCAACAGGACCAGGAGAGAACUGUGCCCAGGGCCGGAUUUCUCCCUCCACAGUGGAAGAGAAGCAGCCAAGUAUUACAGCCAGCCCAGCUCCUUGGGCCGCAGAGAUCAUCUCAGGAGGCCUUUCUAAACGGAGUGCCCUGGGGAAGCAAACUCUAAACGUCCUCGUACGAGAAGACAUUAGGUGAGACCAGGCUGACCACAGUGUCCCUGUCAGCACUGCCCUCGUCCCUGGGGGUCACCUAAUGUCUUGCUCCCCUGCCCCCACACUCCAGUUGAUAUCACUGCUGUAAUCAGGGAAAUCUCUGAGCUCUUUUUCUGGGAGGGCAUUUCCGAGGGGCCAAGGAGCUGCGGAUUGGAGGAGCACCAGCAGCACAGGGCAUGCCCCUGCUCCCUACCCAGAAGCUGGAAAGUACCAUGUCAGGUUUGGGGUCUUCAGUGAAAUCUGUCAAGCAGCGUCUUUGGCACUGGGGCAAAGUUAGGAUGAGGUGGCUUCCCUCUUGAUUACUACAGCAGCUGUCUAUGGCUGACUGUCCCCAGGAGCCUGUUU